This 464-nucleotide ribosomal RNA is filed under the name uncultured bacterium. RNAcentral describes it as "partial 16S ribosomal RNA". It matches the Rfam family "Bacterial small subunit ribosomal RNA", at positions 338 to 795 of the family's 1533-position model. The record is from RNAcentral.
CCUACGGGUGGCAGCAGUGGGGAAUUUUCGGCAAUGGGGGGAACCCUGACCGAGCAACGCCGCGUGAAGGAAGAAGGAAUUCGUUCUGUAAACUUCUGUUAUAAAGGAAGAAAGACGGAUGGAGGAAAUGACAUCCGAGUGACGGUACUUUAUGAGAAAGCCACGGCUAACUACGUGCCAGCAGCCGCGGUAAUACGUAGGUGGCAAGCGUUCUCGGGAAUUAUUGGGCGUAAAGAGGGAGCAGGGGGCAGCAAAGGUCCGUGGUGAAAGACUGAAGUGUAACCUAAGUAAGCCAUAGAAACCGGGCAGCUAGAGUGCAGGAGAGGAUCGUGGAAUUCCAGGUGUAGCGGUGAAAUGCGUAGAUAUAUGGAGGAACACCAGUGGCGAAGGCGACGAUCUGGACUGCAACUGACGCUCAGUCCCGAAAGCGUGGGGAGCAAAUAGGAUUAGAUACCCUUGUAGUC